This is a regulatory RNA element of Anaerosporobacter mobilis DSM 15930, 165 nucleotides long. NCBI's taxonomy places the organism in Bacteria, Bacillati, Bacillota, Clostridia, Lachnospirales, Lachnospiraceae. The record is from Rfam.
UAGCGUAACACCUCUAGUACUUCUUGGUGUGUACUUGACCACCUAGGAAGGCGAGGCAAGGAAGCCGAGCCAGCCUGAGUUCGCCAGGAUGGCGAAUCGAAGGCGUUUCCGUAUCCAUUACUCAAACUCACCGUACACACCUAGAAGUACUAAGGUGUGCAGCGU